UGGGUUUGAUUAUGGCUCAGGAUGAACGCUAGCGGCAGGCUUAACACAUGCAAGUCGAGGGGUAACAGGGAGUGCUUGCACUCUGCUGACGACCGGCGCACGGGUGCGUGACGCGUAUGCAACCUACCUUCUACAGGGGGAUAGUCAAUAGAAAUGUUGAAUAAUACCCCAUACGAUCUUCAAGAGGCAUUACUUGAAGAAGAAAGCUCCGGCGGUAGAAGAUGGGCAUGCGUCCUAUUAGUUAGUUGGUGAGGUAACGGCUCACCAAGACCGCGAUAGGUAGGGGCCCUGAGAGGGGGAUCCCCCACACUGGUACUGAGACACGGACCAGACUCCUACGGGAGGCAGCAGUGAGGAAUAUUGGACAAUGGAGGCAACUCUGAUCCAGCCAUGCCGCGUGCAGGAAGACUGCCCUAUGGGUUGUAAACUGCUUUUAUACAGGAAGAAACCUACUUACGAGUAAGUAGCUGACGGUACUGUAAGAAUAAGGAUCGGCUAACUCCGUGCCAGCAGCCGCGGUAAUACGGAGGAUCCAAGCGUUAUCCGGAAUCAUUGGGUUUAAAGGGUCCGUAGGUGGUUUACUAAGUCAGAGGUGAAAUCCUAUCGCUUAACGAUAGAACUGCCUUUGAUACUGAUAGACUUGAGUUAUUGUGAAGUAGUUAGAAUGUGUAGUGUAGCGGUGAAAUGCAUAGAUAUUACACAGAAUACCAAUUGCGAAGGCAGAUUACUAACAAUAUACUGACACUGAGGGACGAAAGCGUGGGUAGCGAACAGGAUUAGAUACCCUGGUAGUCCACGCCGUAAACGAUGGUCACUAGCUGUUUGAAAAACAUUGGUUUUUUGAGUGGCUAAGCGAAAGUGAUAAGUGACCCACCUGGGGAGUACGCUCGCAAGAGUGAAACUCAAAGGAAUUGACGGGGGCCCGCACAAGCGGUGGAGCAUGUGGUUUAAUUCGAUGAUACGCGAGGAACCUUACCAGGGCUUAAAUGUAAGUUGCAUGGACCAGAGAUGGAACUUUCUUCGGACUACUUACAAGGUGCUGCAUGGUUGUCGUCAGCUCGUGCCGUGAGGUGUCAGGUUAAGUCCUAUAACGAGCGCAACCCCUAUCGUUAGUUGCCAUCGGGUCAUGCCGGGAACUCUAACGAGACUGCCGGUGCAAACCGUGAGGAAGGUGGGGAUGACGUCAAAUCAUCACGGCCCUUACGUCCUGGGCCACACACGUGCUACAAUGGCCGGUACAGAGAGCAGCCACUACGCGAGUAGGCGCGAAUCUUCAAAACCGGUCUCAGUUCGGAUCGCAGUCUGCAACUCGACUGCGUGAAGCUGGAAUCGCUAGUAAUCGGGUAUCAGCCAUGAUCCGGUGAAUACGUUCCCGGGCCUUGUACUCACCGCCCGUCAAGCCAUGGAAUCUGGGGGUACCUGAAGUCGGUCACCGCAAGGAGCUGCCUAGGGUAAAACUGGUAACUAGGGCUAAGUCGUAACAAGGUAGCC
RNAcentral lists this ribosomal RNA (1491 nucleotides) under uncultured bacterium. RNAcentral describes it as "bacterial SSU rRNA". It matches the Rfam family "Bacterial small subunit ribosomal RNA". The record is from RNAcentral.